RNAcentral lists this ribosomal RNA (356 nucleotides) under uncultured bacterium. RNAcentral's name for it is "bacterial SSU rRNA". It matches the Rfam family "Bacterial small subunit ribosomal RNA", at positions 1 to 334 of the family's 1533-position model. The record is from RNAcentral.
CUAGCGACUUCAGAGUUUUGAUCCUGGCUCAGGAUGAACGCUGGCGGCGUGCUUAACACAUGCAAGUCGAACGAAGCACUUUUAUUUGAUUUCUUCGGAAUGAAGAUUUUGUGACUGAGUGGCGGACGGGUGAGUAACGCGUGGGUAACCUACCUCAUACAGGGGGAUAACAGUUGGAAACGGCUGCUAAUACCGCAUAAGCGCACAGUAUCGCAUGAUACAGUGUGAAAAACUCCGGUGGUAUGAGAUGGACCCGCGUUGGAUUAGCUAGUUGGUGAGGUAACGGCCCACCAAGGCGCGAUCCAUAGCCGACCUGAGAGGGUGACCGGCCACAUUGGGACUGAGACACGGCCCAA